UUCAGUUACGGUGAUUUGACACCAACGAGUGUAUUUGGAAAAAUGGUUGGAGCAGCUUGUUCGCUAAUCGGUGUAUUAACACUAGCGCUACCCGUUCCGAUAAUUGUAAGUUAU
Non-coding RNA from Syphacia muris, 114 nucleotides. The record is from Rfam. NCBI's taxonomy places the organism in Eukaryota, Metazoa, Nematoda, Chromadorea, Rhabditida, Oxyuridae.